CCCAAAAGUACUCAGCUUUAGCUGUGACUGGGGGAGGCUUCCUUUCCCUACGAAGCCUCCCGUGUCACGUCUAAUUUACAUCACGUACGGCUGUAUCUUUUUCUCCUGUGACCCCCCCAUCUUUGUCAGUUGAAUUUUCAGACCCAGACAGGGACCCUAAGAGAUUCAAGGAAAACACCGUCCUUCCCUACGUCCGCCCCCUUUCAUCCCCGACUCAUGACAUUUGGGGCCGUCUAACAAAUGAGCUGCAAUGGUUCUCGGUGCAAAAAGAGGAACAUGGGGUCAGGACAAAGGCAGCCUGAGGGUCAGGGCAGCGUGUAAAAAUCCCCAAGACGGGAGUCCUGAUAUUAUUCCUGCUUUUCCAAGCUGCAGCCUCUUCUCCGAGACGCUGGUUCAGAAGGAGUCUGUACAGGCUCUGAGCUGUCUCAUAAUCACAGCCUUUGGUCCCGGAGGGACAGGAGCCCGUAGGCGUGCGCCCAGGCUGGCUUAUGGAACUCAGGGGACUCCACACGGGGUAGGCAGCAUGAAGCUGAGGGGAAGGACCUUCCAGAGAAGCCAGACUGGGGCCCUCAUCUUAUGGCCAAAGACAGCAUCUUCAUUACCUGCCACGGUAGAUGGUAUUUGGCAUUCACUCCGCAUAAAGGACAUCAUGGCAUAUUUACUCUUUUUAUUGGGCAGGCAGAUAAGAGAAAGGCUGCCUCUGCUCCUGCCAGAGAGCCACCAUCCCCGACAGCACGCAGUCCCCUCUCUCACGGGGGGACCAGCUCCCUGAGGAGCUUUUCCUCCAGCUAAUGCCGCGAUCUCAGACGCAUCCUUCCACCUCCCGAGAGAGAGAGACAGAGAGACAGAGACAGAGAGAGAGAGAGAGGCAGGUGUUUGUUCCAGGGUGGGACAGAGGCCUGGAGUUCACCCAUAAUCCUGAGGAAAGGCAGCCUCAGGGUCUUCGAGACUAUUUUUCGUCCCCGUGGCUGCACGUGGAGCAGCUCGUGGGACCCUGCUUAGGAAGGCGGCAGAGCCAGGGCUGCCUCAUCUUUCGGAAGACAGUGGGGGCGGGGGAGGGUUACUGGAAGGUACUAGUUAUUUCUUUCUCAAGCUAACCCCCCCGCCCGGAUUUUCACAUUGCCAGUCACAGCCUUGCUCCCUGCCUGGUGAGAUAGGAAUGCUGAGCAGAGGCGAUGCUAAUGGCAGCUAAAUAUAGACGGCAGCUUCUAGACCCGCCUGCCCGGGUGCCUGCACGCACAUUAGAACAAUUACGGGAAGGAGGCUUCCGUGCUGCCUAAUUAUAACCUUGACUUCGGAAAGCAGGCACUUCUGUGGCUGAGACCAGGGCCCUCCUUCUGUCAAGCGGCAUUUCUGCCCUGGCAGCUGGACGUGCUCUGUCCUUUGUUGCCUUUGGACUUGGUGGCGCCCGGGAUGGUAUGACCUAACAGAAAAGUGUCCAUUGUCCCUCGGAAUGUGUGGGGCUCAAAGGACAUUCCUCAUGGGUGGAGAUUAAUAGGCCUCAUUAACGAGUCACAUUCCUGCCCUUCUCCAUCCCCUGUAAUUAGGGCGGCAGACAUCCCUGUCGGCCUGAGCCGGUCUUAGUUUACGCCUCCGGAGAACAGGGAGUUAUUAACAAGGCCUGUCUUUCAUGCUCAGAAGUGCUAUGUUUUUAUUUUGUUUUAUUUUUUAUUGAAGGAUAGUGGAUGUACCAUGUCGAGUUAGUUUCAAGUGUACAGCAAAGUGAUUCAGUCAUACGUACAUAUAUUCUUUUUCACAUUCUUUCCCAUUAUAGGCUAUUGCAAGAUAUUGGAUCUAGUUCCCUGUGCUAUCUAGUAUCUCGGCGUUUAUCUGUGAGUGAUAAUUUUUUUUUUUUUUUUUUUUUUUUUGCUCUUUAGGGCCGCACCUGCGACUUCUGGAUGUUCCCAGGCUAGGGACUGAAUUGGAGUUGCAGGUGCCAGCCACAGCAAUGCCCGACACAAGUCGCAUCUGCGACCUACGCCAUAGCUCACGGCAAUGCCAGAUCCUUAACCCACUGAGCAAGGCCAGGGAUUGAACCCAUGUCCUCAUGGAUACUAGUCAGGUUUGUCACUGCUGAGCCACGACAGGAACCCCUAUGGGUGAUCAAUUUUAAGGUCCCUGAUGUGCAGUCCUCAAGGAGGAAGGAGACGAUGCCCUUUGGUAGGUGUGGACCCCCCAGAGCCAGCCUGGAUAAGAGGGCUUCAGGUUGAAGAAUGAUCAGGGAGAAGCAGCUUUUCCAAACCCUCCUAAAAAGCUUUCUGCUGCCCUUACCCUCAGUGGCUCUGAGAAGCCACACCCCCUCAGCUUCUAGGGCUCCCAGGUGAUGGCACUAAGCCAGGGGGACCUGUUGGCCUUCGAAGUAUGGCCAGACUGGAGAAUCCACUGGUUCCUGCCAUCCAGUUGGCUCUGGGGCUGACCAAGAUGAGACAGUCACGGAGUUCCUGUCGUGGCUCAGUGGUUAACAAAUCCGACUAAGAACCAUGAGGUUGCGAGUUCGAUCCCUGGCCUCGCUCAGUAGGUUAAAGACCUGGUGUUGCCAUGAGCUGUGGUGUAGAUCGCAGACGCGGCUUGGAUCCCGCGUUGCUGUGGUUCUGGCGUAGGCUGGUGGUGUAGCCUGGGAACCUCCAUAUAGCAUGAUAUCAGGCCCAAGAAAUGGCAAAAAAAGACAAAAAAAAAAAGAGAGAGAGAGAGAGAGAGAUGAGAUGGUCACCUUGCCCCUGGCCUCGAAGCCUCGGGUCUUCAGGUUCAAGAGAACGUCGAACCAGGCUUGUGCAGCGGGUGCCGGCCAUCUGUUGGGCUGGUGUUGUUGGCAAAGUCUUCUUCCCAGGCGGGACCAUUUCCGGGCCCCCUGUAAAAGGCCAAAUCAGACCCUCUUCUGCAAAGAUUCUCACCUAGACUGAUGAGAAGGAAGAGAAAGCAUGGGGCAAGAGCCUCAAGGGAGUCUCGAAGAUCUGAGGUCCCCAAACUAAACUCUUUCCCCUCAACUCCACUGUCGGGAGGCACUUUCUAAUCCUCCCUCCCUUCUGAAUAUGUCUUCCUGCAGGAGGUGGCCAGGGCCAAGAGGCAGCUGGGUUUUCUCGAGCAAUCUGUUUGUGACAGGCCAACUCCAUGGGGAAAAUUCUCAUCUCAGGCUUGAUCUCUGAAGUUACUCUAUAAUUCAUCAGCUGUCUAAAAGCUAUAGAACACACCAGUUACCAUUAGGCUGUCAAAACAUUCAUUCGGCUGAUGAGAAUAGCUCAUUAGGGCUUUUAAAAACACCCGUCUUGGGCAAGAUGUUGGUAGGGUUUCUGCACGCACCCGCAAAAGUGCCUUUGCAUAUGGAUUCCUUCAGUAGCAUUUGCUGCAGAGAAUAAAGACGGGAAACGGUUGAGUAGGAGGCCCUCCGACCCAGAGAAAAGGGAUUGUGGCAAAUGAAAAGAAUGCCCAAGAUUCAGUUAGGUAGAGAUGGCGUGUGGGCAUCAAAAUCCCUCCCACCCGCAGACCAGUCCCCAGCCCACCCACAGCUUCCGACAAAGUGGGGUGAGGGAUUCUACCAUCGGCUACUAAGCAUCCUGCAAGGAGCUCCCCAGAGGAGUGGGAGGAGGUUGCAGAAAAGCGUGGAAUUCCAAGAUGGUUCAAGCAGGCUGUUCCUUGGUAACAGUGUCCCUUCAAAUGCCCAAUCAAAACCCCUGACUUUUAGGCAAAUGUAUGCCUGUUCUCAGACUCAUAAAGCACAAUAUGAGUGAAACGAGGAUAAAAAUACAAAAUGCUACGAGUUCCCGCUGCGGCUCAGCAGAUGCAAAGGUCAGAAUGAAUCCCUCCUUCCUCCGGGUUCUGGGUCUGGUUUUGUUCACACCGUUAUUCUAGCACCCGUAAGAUUCGGCCUUGGAUAAGCGACCCCUCAUGUCCACGUCCUCCAGCAGCCAAAGCCUGAAACAGCCGUGCAGAUUUUUGCAGGGUUUCAAAAACUUUUUUAGUCCUUUCCUUUAAUUUUCCUUGCCACACAGUGAACUGAUUUCCAAACAGGACUUGCUGACGAGGAUUUUAAUUUAUUUUAUUUUUUGGUCUUUUUAGAGCCACAGCCCCGCCAGAUCCGAGCCUUGUCUGCGACCUCGGCCACGCUGGAUCUUUAAUCCACUGAGCGAGGCCAGGGAUUGAACCUACCUCCUCAUGGAUACUAGUCGACCUCGUUAACCACUGAGCCGUGACGGGAACUCUGAUUACACAAGGAUUCGAAACUUAAGUUCUUGCUUUUUUCUGCCAAGUGCUCUCCGAUAGCCGUAAAACAUUUCCAACGACCUCUCCU
This 4285-nucleotide long non-coding RNA is filed under the name Sus scrofa (pig). Its description in RNAcentral is "lncRNA (ENSSSCG00065007105.1)". The record is from RNAcentral. Lineage: Eukaryota; Metazoa; Chordata; Mammalia; Artiodactyla; Suidae.